AGGAAAUUCCGAGGAACCCCAAUUUUGUGUUUCCUCGGAAAUUCCUCGGUAUAUUCAGAGGAUUUCAUUUUCCGUCGGAAUGUCCGUCAGAAUACCGCUGUUUUCUUGUAGUGCUACAUUAACCCUAAAAAAAAAUUAACUUUAAAUUCACCUCCCCACUUAUUGCCAAUCAAAAUGCCACAUAGAUUAAUACUAAAAUAGAUUCAAUUUUAUAAAAAAAAAAAUCUCUAAAUAACUGAAAACAAAUUAUGACAACAAUUUUAAUGACACUAACGCUACUAACUAAACUGUAAAUUCUAAAUUUUAAACUCUAAACUUUAAAUCUAAACCAUAAACUUUAAAUCUAAACCCUAAACCCUAAAUUCUAAAUUCAAAUUCUAAACCCUAAACCCAAAUCCUAUAUUUUAAA
RNAcentral lists this long non-coding RNA (409 nucleotides) under Brassica napus (rape). RNAcentral's name for it is "long non-coding RNA (BNAP_LNC003160)". The record is from RNAcentral. Lineage: Eukaryota; Viridiplantae; Streptophyta; Magnoliopsida; Brassicales; Brassicaceae.